Molecule: ribosomal RNA, 2333 nt
Filed under: Escherichia coli ATCC BAA-2192
Lineage: Bacteria; Pseudomonadati; Pseudomonadota; Gammaproteobacteria; Enterobacterales; Enterobacteriaceae
Description: bacterial LSU rRNA
Rfam family: Bacterial large subunit ribosomal RNA
Source: RNAcentral
UAUAUUCUGUAGCAAGGUUAACCGAAUAGGGGAGCCGAAGGGAAACCGAGUCUUAACUGGGCGUUAAGUUGCAGGGUAUAGACCCGAAACCCGGUGAUCUAGCCAUGGGCAGGUUGAAGGUUGGGUAACACUAACUGGAGGACCGAACCGACUAAUGUUGAAAAAUUAGCGGAUGACUUGUGGCUGGGGGUGAAAGGCCAAUCAAACCGGGAGAUAGCUGGUUCUCCCCGAAAGCUAUUUAGGUAGCGCCUCGUGAAUUCAUCUCCGGGGGUAGAGCACUGUUUCGGCAAGGGGGUCAUCCCGACUUACCAACCCGAUGCAAACUGCGAAUACCGGAGAAUGUUAUCACGGGAGACACACGGCGGGUGCUAACGUCCGUCGUGAAGAGGGAAACAACCCAGACCGCCAGCUAAGGUCCCAAAGUCAUGGUUAAGUGGGAAACGAUGUGGGAAGGCCCAGACAGCCAGGAUGUUGGCUUAGAAGCAGCCAUCAUUUAAAGAAAGCGUAAUAGCUCACUGGUCGAGUCGGCCUGCGCGGAAGAUGUAACGGGGCUAAACCAUGCACCGAAGCUGCGGCAGCGACACUGUGUGUUGUUGGGUAGGGGAGCGUUCUGUAAGCCUGUGAAGGUGUGCUGUGAGGCAUGCUGGAGGUAUCAGAAGUGCGAAUGCUGACAUAAGUAACGAUAAAGCGGGUGAAAAGCCCGCUCGCCGGAAGACCAAGGGUUCCUGUCCAACGUUAAUCGGGGCAGGGUGAGUCGACCCCUAAGGCGAGGCCGAAAGGCGUAGUCGAUGGGAAACAGGUUAAUAUUCCUGUACUUGGUGUUACUGCGAAGGGGGGACGGAGAAGGCUAUGUUGGCCGGGCGACGGUUGUCCCGGUUUAAGCGUGUAGGCUGGUUUUCCAGGCAAAUCCGGAAAAUCAAGGCUGAGGCGUGAUGACGAGGCACUACGGUGCUGAAGCAACAAAUGCCCUGCUUCCAGGAAAAGCCUCUAAGCAUCAGGUAACAUCAAAUCGUACCCCAAACCGACACAGGUGGUCAGGUAGAGAAUACCAAGGCGCUUGAGAGAACUCGGGUGAAGGAACUAGGCAAAAUGGUGCCGUAACUUCGGGAGAAGGCACGCUGAUAUGUAGGUGAAGUCCCUCGCGGAUGGAGCUGAAAUCAGUCGAAGAUACCAGCUGGCUGCAACUGUUUAUUAAAAACACAGCACUGUGCAAACACGAAAGUGGACGUAUACGGUGUGACGCCUGCCCGGUGCCGGAAGGUUAAUUGAUGGGGUCAGCGCAAGCGAAGCUCUUGAUCGAAGCCCCGGUAAACGGCGGCCGUAACUAUAACGGUCCUAAGGUAGCGAAAUUCCUUGUCGGGUAAGUUCCGACCUGCACGAAUGGCGUAAUGAUGGCCAGGCUGUCUCCACCCGAGACUCAGUGAAAUUGAACUCGCUGUGAAGAUGCAGUGUACCCGCGGCAAGACGGAAAGACCCCGUGAACCUUUACUAUAGCUUGACACUGAACAUUGAGCCUUGAUGUGUAGGAUAGGUGGGAGGCUUUGAAGUGUGGACGCCAGUCUGCAUGGAGCCGACCUUGAAAUACCACCCUUUAAUGUUUGAUGUUCUAACGUGGACCCGUGAUCCGGGUUGCGGACAGUGUCUGGUGGGUAGUUUGACUGGGGCGGUCUCCUCCUAAAGAGUAACGGAGGAGCACGAAGGUUGGCUAAUCCUGGUCGGACAUCAGGAGGUUAGUGCAAUGGCAUAAGCCAGCUUGACUGCGAGCGUGACGGCGCGAGCAGGUGCGAAAGCAGGUCAUAGUGAUCCGGUGGUUCUGAAUGGAAGGGCCAUCGCUCAACGGAUAAAAGGUACUCCGGGGAUAACAGGCUGAUACCGCCCAAGAGUUCAUAUCGACGGCGGUGUUUGGCACCUCGAUGUCGGCUCAUCACAUCCUGGGGCUGAAGUAGGUCCCAAGGGUAUGGCUGUUCGCCAUUUAAAGUGGUACGCGAGCUGGGUUUAGAACGUCGUGAGACAGUUCGGUCCCUAUCUGCCGUGGGCGCUGGAGAACUGAGGGGGGCUGCUCCUAGUACGAGAGGACCGGAGUGGACGCAUCACUGGUGUUCGGGUUGUCAUGCCAAUGGCACUGCCCGGUAGCUAAAUGCGGAAGAGAUAAGUGCUGAAAGCAUCUAAGCACGAAACUUGCCCCGAGAUGAGUUCUCCCUGACCCUUUAAGGGUCCUGAAGGAACGUUGAAGACGACGACGUUGAUAGGCCGGGUGUGUAAGCGCAGCGAUGCGUUGAGCUAACCGGUACUAAUGAACCGUGAGGCUUAACCUUACAACGCCGAAGGUGUUU